Long non-coding RNA from Varroa destructor (honeybee mite), 1040 nucleotides. NCBI's taxonomy places the organism in Eukaryota, Metazoa, Arthropoda, Arachnida, Mesostigmata, Varroidae. The record is from RefSeq and is a predicted model, not a curated record.
CUCUCGUUCCCUAUUUUCCAUCGUUAUGGCACUUGCCCAUGGGCCUUUUUAAAAAUUUCAAUUAUAAAAAAAUUAAAGAUGGUUGCACUUAAAUUAGUUAUGGGCAUAUUAGAGACAAACUAAUUUAGCAUUAAGUUCUCGUUCUUAGGAAAUCCAUACGGACUGACGUAUGUGCUUUUCAUUAGUGGAGGCAAACGCAUUACCAGUGCAACGUGACGGGAACACGAUGACAGACCCGGAUGGCAUCGAACGUAAAGCGAUAUGGGGAAAGAAGUAAGAGACCGCUUUGACUUACGUUUAUAGCCAUUAAAUGCGGUAUAAAGUGCGCACGAACGAUAUGCCAGUGCUUAAUGUUAUUCGCAAGUCGAUCGCUAAACUUAACGUCAAAUCGGUGCGAACUGGACACUUUCGGGAUAAUCGUCUCUUCAAAAAUCAUCGCUCGUUUUGACAAAAAAAAAUGGUGAAUGUCUUGGAGAACGUCGGAGAUCCUAUCAUUAGCGAGGAAUAUUUAGGACAAACACGCCUUCCAGUUUGACUCGGUAACGCGGACAUUCCCCAAACAGGGGUCUCAGUCUAUCAGCCUUCCUGAUAAAGCGAGCAUCACAGUCGGAAAUGAAGCUCUGCGAUGAUGGAACGCGGGUCAGCCGGUGAGUGAUGGAGAAGCAAGCUAUCGAGCUGAAGCCGAUUUUUUAUGGUAACGCAGGAGCUUAAAAUGUUUCCAUUCAAUCUUGUCGAAAGAGUGCUUUCCGAUAACCAAUUUCGGAGAGCUAAUGAGCUUGAACAAGAUAUCACUAUGCUUGAGAGAGACAAGACCUCAAAUGAACUCUGAAAUUUGGUCGCUGCUUAAAGCUGGUCGAGCUGACCCCAGAACGACACGAUGCAAUUAAACACAUGAGUGGUGUAGUGCUUAGAUCGACAACGACCUGAUGGCUUCAACAAUAGGGAUUGGAAACGAAACAUAUCACUGGAACAACAGGUAACAGUUACAGCCGUGUAACCUGAAAAAUUCUUCUAUCUGACACAUUAAUAUAAGACUGUCC